UGGGGAAUUUUGGACAAUGGGCGAAAGCCUGAUCCAGCAAUGCCGCGUGUGUGAAGAAGGCCUUCGGGUUGUAAAGCACUUUUGUCCGGAAAGAAAUCCUUGGCUCUAAUACAGUCGGGGGAUGACGGUACCGGAAGAAUAAGCACCGGCUAACUACGUGCCAGCAGCCGCGGUAAUACGUAGGGUGCAAGCGUUAAUCGGAAUUACUGGGCGUAAAGCGUGCGCAGGCGGUUUGCUAAGACCGAUGUGAAAUCCCCGGGCUCAACCUGGGAACUGCAUUGGUGACUGGCAGGCUAGAGUAUGGCAGAGGGGGGUAGAAUUCCACGUGUAGCAGUGAAAUGCGUAGAGAUGUGGAGGAAUACCGAUGGCGAAGGCAGCCCCCCUGGGCCAAUACUGACGCUCAUGCACGAAAGCGUGGGGAGCAAACAGGAUUAGAUACCCUGGUAGUCCACGCCCUAAAACGAUGUCAACUAGUUGUUGGGGAUUCAUUUCCUUAGUAACGUAGCUAACGCGUGAAGUUGACCGCCUGGGGAGUACGGUCGCAAGAUUAAAACUCAAAGGAAUUGACGGGGUCAUAGCUGUUUCCU
Molecule: ribosomal RNA, 587 nt
Filed under: uncultured bacterium
Lineage: Bacteria
Description: partial 16S ribosomal RNA
Rfam family: Bacterial small subunit ribosomal RNA
Source: RNAcentral